Molecule: long non-coding RNA, 572 nt
Organism: Helianthus annuus (common sunflower)
Lineage: Eukaryota; Viridiplantae; Streptophyta; Magnoliopsida; Asterales; Asteraceae
Exons: 3
Source: RefSeq, a predicted model, not a curated record
AACGAGUUAUACGCGACCGGGACAAACCCGAACGCGUCUUUUUGACUUCGCUCGGUCUGUUUUGAUUCAUAGGAGGUGGAGAUUGUAUAUCGAUCAUUAAAUGAUUCUUUAUACCCCUUGAUUAACACGAAUUUAUUUCAAUUUAAAGCUUAUUAAACACCAUUAAAAGCCUAUAGAACUCAACUCGUUUCUUUUCAAAUUCGUUGACUAUGAUACACAAAAAAAAAUAUUCCCAUUGAUCCUAAAAGCUGUUACACAACAAUACCAACUCUCAAAACCUGCAAAUCACCUUUCAACAUCGCGAAUUUAAUCGAGAUCGAAUCUAGGGCUUGUAACUUGUGCGGAUGAUAACUCCUUCAAUUCUUAACCUUUUCAGAAUUCCACAUAUUCCAGUUCGUGCGUUAAUUCUCGUGGAACGUCUCUUCGCAACCUGUUUUUCAAAGUUGAUGAUCAAGUGAUGUGGACACGUAGCAUGGGCCUUAGGAAAUUAAAUUGAAAUCUUGAUAUGUUUGUUUUGAACAAUGUAUGAACAAUUUUGACUAUUAUAUGUUAUGUGAUUAUUUAAAUGGUUA